GCCGCGAAUCGCCCUUCGGGGUGCCCAGGCGCGAAACCUUUGCCAUGCGCGAAAGCGUGACAGGGGAACUCCGAGUGGUAGAGGGGUUUACCUCUCUAUCUUUUGGCCGAUCUAAGUCAUCGGCAGAAUAAGAUCUGGGUAAGACCAGUGCCAGCCGCCGCGGUAAUACUGGCAGAGCAAGUGGUAUCCACGAAUAUUGGGUCUAAAGAGUCCGUAGCGGGCCGAUUAAGUCCACUGUGAAAUCUGACGGCUUAACCGUCAGGCGGGCAGUGGAUACUGACCGGCUUGGGAGCGGGGGAGGUCGGGAGUACUGGCGGGGUAACGGUAAAAUGUUGUAAUCCUGCCAGGACUACCAGUGGCGAAGGCGCCCGACCAAAACGCGUCCGACCGUGAGGGACGAAGGCUAGGAGAACGAAUCGGAUUAGAUACCCGAGUAGCCCUAGCAGUAAAUUAUGCGGACUGUGGUGUUGCAACGACUUCGAGUCGUUGCAGUGCUGUAGCGUAGGUGUUAAGUCCGCCACCUGGGGAGUACGGCCGCUAGGUUGAAACUUAAAGGAAUUGGCGGGGGAGCAC
This 573-nucleotide ribosomal RNA is filed under the name uncultured archaeon. RNAcentral describes it as "bacterial SSU rRNA". It matches the Rfam family "Archaeal small subunit ribosomal RNA", at positions 307 to 879 of the family's 1478-position model. The record is from RNAcentral.